Molecule: long non-coding RNA, 2025 nt
Filed under: Homo sapiens (human)
Lineage: Eukaryota; Metazoa; Chordata; Mammalia; Primates; Hominidae
Description: HSALNT0301390
Source: RNAcentral
GUGCGCUCCCCGCCGAGGCUCCCCUCGACGCCUGGGCCGCCGCGCAACCGCACUGGAGCGGCUUCUCCCGCUGCCGUCUUCGCGCAGGGUUGAGUUUGUGCAUCGAUUGUGAACACAACAGGCAGCAGGCUAUAAUGGUGGUCCUGGCUGGAGUAGUUUUCACAGACUUCAGUAAUCUGUGGAGAUGAACGGGCAGUUCUCUGUAGUUUUCACAGAUCACUGCCAGUUCGUUUUGAGGCCUUCAGGAGUGAAGACCUGGCUCAUCAUCACUCUUUGUUGUUUUGUUAAAUUUAUUUACACCCUACUUUAUUCCAGAGGAAAGGAUUUAACGUAGUUUACAUAAAUGUGUACAUCAGGGUAAAUUAAAAAUAAGUACAGAGAAAAAUAGGACAAAAGAAAACCGUGAGUGUGAAAGAUAAGAUUAAGCCAGCAGUUUUGUAUGCAAAAUGCAUGGUGUAAGGUCCUAUUGGUUUGCUGGAGGUAGGCCACACAUAUGACUCUCAGUUUUCUAGCAACCAAGAAAAAGAUCAGUUGCAAUCGGAGUAGGUGUUUUGGCUAAGCUGGAACUAGGACUUGAAUAUAGCAGCUUGUAGAGUUAUACCACUUGCCCAAAUCUCUUCCAUGAGCCUCUUUAAGUGUAACAGAAUGCCUGGGAGCACGUAAAUGCUCCUACUUAGAUGCCUACUUAGCCUCUAAUUUUCAUGGGGCCCAUGAAUCCCAUGAAAAAGAACUUUGAACCCUGUCCACAAUUAGAGUUCAGGUAUACGCAGACAUGUUUAAAGACAAGGGACACCCAAAGGAAAGAUUGCACAGAGAGAAAGUGAGCAUCCGAGAGAAAAUCACCACAAGUGAGGCAGAGGGAGGCCGGUCUCAGCAGAGUUUUGGAGGUCGUGAGAAGAAGAGGUAGGAGAUAGGAGAGUGGUUCCGAGUACUUGCCUGCUGAUGUUACCUUCUCCACCCCCACCAGGUUUUCCAGUGCCUGGAGUCUUGGGCAGGAAUGGGCCACUGUAAGAAAGAGCUUUAUCACUAGGGCCUCAGCCAACUUUUCUGUGGGAUAUCCCUCCAAAAUAAUUAAGAGUUCAGAAUGCUUCAGAUUUUGAAGUGAAACUGGUACAUAUAUUAAGUGUUACUUAAUAACCCGAUAGUUUCUAGGGCAGCUCACCAUAAUCCCAAGUAUUAGCCACCACCCUCACCCCCUUCAGAGUAAAAUGUGUUUCCUGAAGGAAGUUGGGAAAAUGAAGAAAAAAAAUACAAAAAUCACCUAUAAUCUUACCAGUCAUAGAUGGCAGUUUUCCUGUCUUAUUUCUGAAUAAUGGUUGUUAAACAUUUGCCAGCACACCAUAAGGCUUAGGGAGGCAUCUGGGUCAUGCAUGUUAAUAUCCUUGGGUAAUUCCAGAAAUCUCUAUGAAGGGAAACUCCUGUUAUUUAUCUAGACUUCCUGAUUGCAAGGGGUUUGGGCAUCAUGAUUUAGGGGUCUUAAUAAAAUUAUUAUUUUAUUUUUACUAAUAGAUAAUGUCUGUGCCUAUCAGAUAAAGGCAAACCAGUGCUCAGAGGAACCCAACCAUCUCUGAAUUGAGACCAGAGAGCUGUCUCUAUGGAUAGUCCUUAGAGAAGGCAUUUCGGAACACAGUAAACAGCAGCCUGGUGACUCCGAUUACAGGGCCAGUUGCCUUUGUUACAAUAAAAGCAAGUCAUCUACACAGAUUUUUCCUACCAGGAAGAGCAUGUGCUGACCAACAGACAUGAAUUUCAGCCUGGUAGUUACAACAUUCACAGUAUACCCACAUCACUAAGCUGGGAGGCACAUUUUGAGACCCAGAAUCCUGACACCUCCAUGCCUUCAAAAGGAUGAGCAGAUUCAUGUAUGACCAGAAUGUAAACCAGGAUCACAGAGCAGCCGGAGAGGUGGUGACAGAACCAUCGAUGGAACCCUGGGCUCCAGGUUCUGACUCCUAUUUUCACUCACUAAUUUUUUUUUUUUGAGAUGGAGUCUUGCUCUGUCGCCAGGCUGGAGUAGAGUGGCAC